CUUGUGAAAACACCCUGUCUGUAUCAUAUCCGAUCUACUAUUUGUUGUCAGUUUGCCUGAGGUUCACAGGAGGUUCAGCAUUUGUUAAUAUUUUUCUAUAUUCUUCAUUUUUUAAAGAUUAAAUCCACAGCGUUGAUGUAUGAAGAGGAUGGAACAGUUUCUUAUUGUUGUGUUAUUAGCAGGAGGAACCCGUGCUUUCUUUCCAGUUGAUGAGACUACAUGUGAUCUCAAUGCAAACAGAUGCCCAUGCUCUCCUCAUCUUAAAGGAACGGUGUAUAUCCAGUGUGAUGUGAUGGCUAAUGCUAGUGGCCAUGAAGUGAAGUGUUUGAAAGUGCUUCCCAAGGUGAACAUAACUGUGUUCAGUCUAAAGAAAGAAAACAUAACGAUAGACAAGGAAUUUAACAACAGACUACAGUUUCUAAUCAAGAAUGGGACAUUCAAGAUCACAAACUUGAGGAGGAAUGAUUCAGGUCAAUACAGCAUUGACGUCUUUAAUUCAAAUGGAGUCCAAGAGAAAAACAUUCUUUUCACCCUGGAUGUUAAAGACAAUGGCAAAGUUGAAGGUUUGGAAACUUGCUGUGACAUUAAACACCAUGGAGCUCAGUGUUAUGGAUCUUUAGGUGGAAAUGUGGACAUCCAGCUGAUGGACAUUAUAUCAAAGACAUCAAAAUACCAAUUGAUGAAAAAUUCAUUGAAAAUACUAAAUGUCAGAAAUAAUAAAGUUCUUCCUAAUGCUGAAGGACAAAGAUUUGUCUUUUUUCCCAGUAAUGGAACAUUUAGGAUCCCUAACAUGAGCAGGAAUGACAGUGGUAAUUAUACCCUUCAAACCUUUGAUUCAGAAGGAAGAGCAUCAGGCGAGUGGACUUUACAGUUGUUCAUUCAAGCUCCUGUGUCCUCUGUCCUGCUGGUCUCUCAGUGUCUGUCCCAGAGAGAGAUGAGAGUUUCCUGCUCCUCUGAGGGAGGGGACAGUCCUCAGUACAGCUGGACUCUGGAUGGACGCACACUGACAGAUGCUGAGCUCCUUCCUGGAAACAAUGAAACUAACAUUAUUACCCUGAAACAGCACGUCUCAGGACAUCUGGUCUGCUCAGUGAGGAACAACGUCAGUAAUGUGUUCAAAGAGGAGAGGAUAUCUACCUGCAAAGCAGGUAUUUUGCAAGUGAUCGGUGGUGUUCUCUUAGCACUGGUCAUUUUAUUAGUUGUGGGUAUAGCAAUCAUCUUUAAUCAGAGGAAAAAACAAAACUACAAACCUACAAAAGAAAAAGACGAAGAGGAUGACCAAGUGGAGCUAAGAGCAGCAGUGAAGUUGGAGGCCGAGGUUGAGCUGGAGUUCGCGGUCGAGAUUGAGAGCGAGGAUGAAGAUGAGGGUGAGGGUGUGGGUGAGGCAGAGGCAGAGGCAGAGAAAAAGGUGGAAGUGGAGUAUGCCCAGGUCAAGUUUCCAAAGCAACCUCGACACACUCAACCAACAGGAAAUAAUUAUUUAUAUGCAACGGUCCGUAAAAUGAGGUGAUUUAAAUGGUCGGUGUCUUUACACAGACUGCACUACUGAAGGUCCACAUGAGGAGGUGACAUCAAGACACCUAAAGACACUUUUAAUUAUCAGGCAAAUGCACAAAGCUCAGCUGAUUAAAACAGAGCAUCAAUGCAUCCAGUUUUAGGUUCCUUCCAUGUUUAAUUACAAGCAGUAUGUGCGUUCUCUGCAUUUGCAUUCUGUUGAAGCUCUGAUAGAAUAAAGGUCAUGAUUGUAGUGGAGAAGUCUGUCUUUUAAUUUCAACUUGACUACUUUUUGAUCUUGUAAAUGUGGAAUUCAAUCAUCCUUCAAAUGAAAAUAAUUAAAGUAAAAAGUGUGGUGAACAUUUCUAUGAAUUUCUGUGCAGCAAAAACUUGAAACAGUGAUAAACCAUCAAUGUAAAUAAGGCCCAGCAAAGGCUUUCUUUCUCAGGAGACAAACAGGCUGGGCUCCCCUUUAGACUGCUGGCAAACUUCUAUAGAAACGCAACAGAAAGCAUCAUCUGUCAUAGUAUGACAGGUUGGCAUGGCAGCUGCACGGCACAGGACAGAAAUGACAUGGCCAAGGUAGUGAGUACAGCACAGGGCACUGUGGGAAAUCUUCUCCCAGAUCUGGACUCUGUGUAUGCUUGCUGUGUCCAGAAGAAGGCCAGCUGCUUUGGUGCAGAUCCCACGCACUUGAGUAAAUGACUGUUUGUCCUUCUGCCUUCUUGAAGAAGGUUUAGGACCAUUUAAGCAAGAAGCAUUAGACUGAAGCACACUUUUCCCCCUAGAACAAUGAACUCUAUCACCCCCGUGCAUACACACACACACACACACACACACACACACACACACUGGACAACUGCACUUUGGAACAUGUAACUACAAUGCUACCGUAUUUUCCUGUUCUGUAUAUUUAUAUAUUAAGUAUCUUUCUGUGCUUUGUAUACUAGUUGGUGUUAAGCUGACCACACACAAUUUCGUUAUGUGACUGCAUAAUGACAAUAAAGUAUCUUUGACUCAUUUAAAUCUUUGAAUCAGCCAUUCAAAACAAUGGACAAUGCACAACAGAGGUGUAGGAGAAAGUUCAGGCAGGGUGGAGAGGGUGAAGACGAGUGUCAGGGUGAUUUCUGACAGAAAGAUAGGAGUUAGAAUGAAAGGGACAGUUUGCAAGAUGGUAGUAAGACCUCCUGUGAUGGAUGGAGUGCUGAUUUGGAGACAGAAACAAGAGACAAAGCUGGAGGUGGCAGAGUUGACAAUAUCAAGAUUUACAGUUGAGUGACCAGCAUGCACAAGAUUAGAAGUAAUUAUAUCAGCGGGGCAAGAAAAGUAGAUUUAGAAUGUAAAAAAGUAAACUGUAAAUUUGUUUUAAGAAUAAAGUGC
This is a long non-coding RNA of Oreochromis aureus, 2874 nucleotides long. Lineage: Eukaryota; Metazoa; Chordata; Actinopteri; Cichliformes; Cichlidae. The record is from Ensembl.